AUUGAACGCUGGCGGCAUGCUUUACACAUGCAAGUCGAACGGUAACAGGCCGCAAGGUGCUGACGAGUGGCGUACGGGUGAGUAAUGCAUCGGAACGUGCCCAGUCGUGGGGGAUAACUACUCGAAAGAGUAGCUAAUACCGCAUACGAUCUAUGGAUGACAGCGGGGGACCGUAAGGCCUCGCGCGAUUGGAGCGGCCGAUGUCAGAUUAGGUAGUUGGUGGGGUAAAGGCUCACCAAGCCAACGAUCUGUAGCUGGUCUGAGAGGACGACCAGCCACACUGGGACUGAGACACGGCCCAGACUCCUACGGGAGGCAGCAGUGGGGAAUUUUGGACAAUGGGCGCAAGCCUGAUCCAGCAAUGCCGCGUGCAGGAAGAAGGCCUUCGGGUUGUAAACUGCUUUUGUACGGAACGAAACGGCUCUGGUUAAUACCCGGGGCUAAUGACGGUACCGUAAGAAUAAGCACCGGCUAACUACGUG
Molecule: ribosomal RNA, 482 nt
Filed under: uncultured bacterium
Lineage: Bacteria
Description: partial 16S ribosomal RNA
Rfam family: Bacterial small subunit ribosomal RNA
Source: RNAcentral